RNAcentral lists this ribosomal RNA (497 nucleotides) under uncultured bacterium. RNAcentral's name for it is "partial 16S ribosomal RNA". It matches the Rfam family "Bacterial small subunit ribosomal RNA", at positions 28 to 507 of the family's 1533-position model. The record is from RNAcentral.
GAUGAACGCUGGCGGCGUGCCUAAUACAUGCAAGUCGAGCGAACAGACGAGGAGCUUGCUCCUCUGACGUUAGCGGCGGACGGGUGAGUAACACGUGGAUAACCUACUUAUAAGACUGGGAUAACUUCGGGAAACCGGAGCUAAUACCGGAUAAUAUAUUGAACCGCAUGGUUCAAUAGUGAAAGACGGUUUUGCUGUCACUUAUAGAUGGAUCCGCGCCGCAUUAGCUAGUUGGUAAGGUAACGGCUUACCAAGGCGACGAUGCGUAGCCGACCUGAGAGGGUGAUCGGCCACACUGGAACUGAGACACGGUCCAGACUCCUACGGGAGGCAGCAGUAGGGAAUCUUCCACAAUGGGCGAAAGCCUGACGGAGCAACGCCGCGUGAGUGAUGAAGGUCUUCGGAUCGUAAAACUCUGUUAUUAGGGAAGAACAAAUGUGUAAGUAACUAUGCACGUCUUGACGGUACCUAAUCAGAAAGCCACGGCUAACUACGUG